AGAAUGAACGCUGGCGGCGUGCUUAACACAUGCAAGUCGAACGGAAUCCAAGGAGCUUGCUCUGGAAGAUUUAGUGGCGAACGGGUGAGUAUCACGUGAGCAACCUGCCCCGAAGACUGGGAUAACACCGGGAAACCGGUGCUAAUACCGGAUACCUUCCAAUGACCGCAUGGUCGAUGGAAGAAAUGUUUUUCGCUUCGGGAGGGGCUCGCGGUCCAUCAGCUUGUUGGCGGGUAACGGCCCACCAAGGCUUCGACGGAUAGC
This 264-nucleotide ribosomal RNA is filed under the name uncultured bacterium. RNAcentral describes it as "partial small subunit ribosomal RNA". It matches the Rfam family "Bacterial small subunit ribosomal RNA", at positions 26 to 287 of the family's 1533-position model. The record is from RNAcentral.